UCUCCGUUGGUGAACCAGCGGAGGGAUCAUUACCGAGUGCAAACUCAUAACCCUUUGUGAACCUAUAUCUGUUGCUUCGGCGGCUCGCUCUCGGGCGAGCCCGCCGGUAAUAUCAGUAUCUCUGUUUGAACCCGACGAUACUUCUGAGUGUUCUUAGCGAACAGUUAAAACUUUUAACAACGGAUCUCUUGGCUCUAGCAUCGAUGAAGACGCAGC
RNAcentral lists this unclassified non-coding RNA (216 nucleotides) under plant metagenome. RNAcentral's name for it is "partial contains small subunit ribosomal RNA, internal transcribed spacer 1, and 5.8S ribosomal RNA". The stretch from base 169 to 216 matches the Rfam family "5.8S ribosomal RNA", at positions 1 to 49 of the family's 154-position model. The record is from RNAcentral.